This 466-nucleotide ribosomal RNA is filed under the name uncultured bacterium. RNAcentral's name for it is "bacterial SSU rRNA". It matches the Rfam family "Bacterial small subunit ribosomal RNA", at positions 28 to 507 of the family's 1533-position model. The record is from RNAcentral.
GACGAACGCUGGCGGCGUGCUUAACACAUGCAAGUCGAACGGUGACGAGGAGCUUGCUCCUCUGAUCAGUGGCGAACGGGUGAGUAACACGUGAGCAACCUGCCCCAGACUCUGGGAUAACAGUUGGAAACAGCUGCUAAUACCGGAUACGAGACGGAGAGGCAUCUCUACCGUCUGGAAAGUUUUUCGGUCUGGGAUGGACUCGCGGCCUAUCAGCUAGUUGGUGAGGUAAUGGCUCACUAAGGCGACGACGGGUAGCCGGCCUGAGAGGGCGACCGGCCACACUGGGACUGAGACACGGCCCAGACUCCUACGGGAGGCAGCAGUGGGGAAUAUUGCACAAUGGGCGAAAGCCUGAUGCAGCGACGCCGCGUGAGGGAUGACGGCCUUCGGGUUGUAAACCUCUUUCAGCAGGGAAGAAGCGAAAGUGACGGUACCUGCAGAAGAAGCACCGGCUAACUACGUG